Molecule: long non-coding RNA, 631 nt
Filed under: Homo sapiens (human)
Lineage: Eukaryota; Metazoa; Chordata; Mammalia; Primates; Hominidae
Description: HSALNT0318564
Source: RNAcentral
CCAGAUGAAAAAACACAAGCUGAGAGAGGUUAAGUGAUUUGUUCAAAGUAGCAAGGUUGGAAAGCCAAAGAUCAAGUUGCCAGCAGAUUUGAUGUCUGAUGAGAGUUGCUGUCUGUCCCCAAGAUGUAGCCUUGUUACUGCAUACUCUGGAUGGAAAGGACACUGGGUCCUCACAAGAGAUCAGUUUUAUUGAUUCCAUACGUCUUUAUUGAAAAAUAAAUGAAUAAGUGUUGAGAAUCUCCUCCGAGACAGUGUGAUAUGAUGAGUCCUAUGCCAGAGAGAGAGAAAAUCCUACAGCAAACUUAACUGGCCCAAUACAGUUGAUAUGCCUGUCCUUGAACCAAAACUACAGUGAUUGAUUGCACAGUCCUGAGUCACAAGCUCACUCAUGCCUUGGGGACAGGUCAAUCCCACUCAAGCUAUAUGGACUGAGACAGAAGAGGGUUUUGCCAUAAAGAACAAGUAAGAUAUUCUAUGGAAAAAAAAAGUCUUUGAAAAGCAUGAAAACUUCUGAAAGUAAAAAGGUUUAAAGAAAGCAAUUACCCAGGUAAGAGAAAGAUAAAAAUAAUUCUAUCUUUUCUGAAUUAUCCAUAGAUGUUAGACAUUGUCUUAGUCUAUUUGGGCUGCUAUA